RNAcentral lists this ribosomal RNA (741 nucleotides) under uncultured bacterium. RNAcentral's name for it is "bacterial SSU rRNA". It matches the Rfam family "Bacterial small subunit ribosomal RNA", at positions 8 to 794 of the family's 1533-position model. The record is from RNAcentral.
AGAGUUUGAUCAUGGCUCAGGAUGAAUGGUGGNUGUAUGGAUAAGGCAUGCAAGUCGAACGGACCGCAAGGUCAGUGGCAGACGAGGUAGUAACACGUAGGUACGUACUCCCAAGUCCGGUAUAGCUCGUCGAAAGACGGGGUAAUCCCGGAUGGUCCCGCAAGGGUAAAGAUUUAUCGCUUGGGAAGCGGCCUGCGUAGUAUCAGCUAGUUGGUAGGGUAAUGGCCUACCAAGGCUACGACGCUUAGGGGAGCUGAGAGGCUGACCCCCACCGAUGGGACUGAGACACGGCCCAUACUCCUACGGGAGGCCGCAGUCGAGAAUCUUCCGCAAUGGACGAAAGUCUGACGGAGCGAUACAGCGUGGUGGACGAAGUGCUUCGGCACGUAAACACCUUUUAUGUGGGACGAAAUUAUUGACGGUACCACAUGAAUAAGGGGCUCCUAACUCUGUGCCAGCAGGAGCGGUAAUACAGAGGCCCCAAGCAUUAUCCGGAAUCAUUGGGCGUAAAGGGUGUCAAGGCGGUUAUGUUAGUCGUUCGUUAAAUCCGGUGGCUCAACCUCCGGCCUGCGAGCGAAACGGCAUAACUUGAGGGUGGGAGAGGUGUGUGGAACUCACGGUGUAGGGGUGAAAUCCGUUGAUAUCGUGGGGAACACCAAAGGCGAAGGCAGCACACUGGCCCAUUCCUGACGCUCACACACGAAAGCCAGGGUAGCGAACGGGAUUAGAUACCCCGGUAGU